CUGACAUUGUUUCUGGAUACACAUGAAAGCUUCCAGACUCGUUCACCUGAUCGUGUCCAAUUGCUGAAGUGCAGACCACCACCUAGAGAACCACAAUAAUAGGCUUCCCCUUGAGAGAGCCACAUGGGACUUCUGUUCCAUCCUUUCAUGUAGAAACGGCAUGCAGGAUAUUUUAUGAUUCAUUUUUUCCUUUUUGAUAAGAUAUGAAAGAAAUAUCAAAAGAAAUUCAGAGAUAUUUCUAUUUUCUCAGAAUGAGAUGAAGUACGAGGAGCUUCUACUUAAGAAACAUGCUAUUUUUCCCUGGCACUCUGGGUUCAUAAAGUGAGAAAAUUAUCUUUACUGCUAUUUUUGUUUGAUGUUUGAAGACAAGAUUUUGUGUCUUUUUGCAUUUUUACCCUUUCAAAUUAAAUCACCUAUAUCAAUGAAUGUACUUCACACAAGAACUAAGCAGAAUGAUGCCUAGCAACCGUGAUUUUAAAAGUCACUUUCUUCUGCUUUACAUCUGAGUUUAAGAGUCCUUUUUCUAGGUGGAGAUUCAGAAGCCCAGCUGUCAUUUAGAAAUAAGAAAUUUCAAGAUUCCAGUUGCCAUGGAUUUCUUUCCCAAAAAUCUUCCCAGAGAUCACAGAAUUUCCAGAUUUGCAAUAAGUGAAGAGAUUCAAUCUACACUGUUCAGAGUGGAGAGAAGGGGUGUGCUGUUGGAAUCACCUCUGGGAGAGAGUAAGCAUGUCUAAAAUACUGGAGCCUCACAGAGGGGAUAGGGCUCCAUUAGGACAGAGGAGGGCAGCAUUCCAAGAUAACCAGGUAGGCUCCUACUGAGGUAGGGAUAAGAGAGGCAAGGGGUUAGCAUGUGCCCAGGCAAGGAAUUAGCGUGUGAUAUAUGGCAAUUCUGCUUCAGAUUAAGGGAGCAUUUAGAAUUGUCUAAGAAAAAGCUUCUAAAGAUGUCCAUUUCGAUCCUGUUUUGGUUGUCACAACAGGAUGGAGGUGCUACGUACAUCUAGUGGGCAAAGGUCAGGGAUGUUGCUAAAAAUCUUGCAAUGUGAAGGACAGCCCACCCAAAAUAAAGAAGUAUCUGGCCUCAUAAGUCAAUGAGGCCAAGACUGAGGAGCCCGGUUUAGGUCCUUUUUGAAUUCCUUUCUUUCUGAACUCCUUUCUUCUCCAUCUUCCCUCAGUCUUGUUGAGGAUCGAGUUGGGUAACAGAGAGAGCACAUAAAUUUCCUCUUCAUUCUCUUCUCAUUCAGGCAGCUGGAGUGAGCUGGAGUAAGUCAGUUUCCCCUCACAUUCCCCUUCCUCAGGUUUCCUGGUAGCCUAGUGGUUAAGAGCAUGGGUUUUAGAGUCACAUAGGCAUGGUUUGGUCCUAGAUUGGCUAUAGGAUUAUAGAUAAAUUAUUUAUUUUAUUUAAGCUUCAGUUUGCACAUCUGUAAAAUGGACACCAUAAUAGUACUUAGCUCCCAAGUGAAGGUCAGAGUCUUUUCUCUAUUCUUACUACUGUUCAUGGCCCUUGUCUAGAUCUCAGGGGGGGGGGGGUUGCAUGAACUACUCAUGCAAAACUACUCAUGAACUACUCAUGUCAUAUUUUCUGCAUUGGACAUUAGCUACUAGUUUGGGCUGCUCUGCAAAUCUGUAUCUCUUCCCUCUGGGGGAACCACUCCCUUUCUCAAUCUAAGUCAUUAAGCAAGUCUUUCCCCUGGGUCCAGGUGUGUACUAGGCUUGAU
Long non-coding RNA from Canis lupus familiaris (dog), 1712 nucleotides. RefSeq lists it as uncharacterized. The transcript is spliced from 4 exons. NCBI's taxonomy places the organism in Eukaryota, Metazoa, Chordata, Mammalia, Carnivora, Canidae. The record is from RefSeq and is a predicted model, not a curated record.